AGUGAACGCUGGCGGUAGGCCUGACACAUGCAAGUCGAACGGCAGCACAGUAAGAGCUUGCUCUUACGGGUGGCGAGUGGCGGACGGGUGCGGAAUACAUCGGAAUCUACUUUUUCGUGGGGGAUAACGUAGGGACACUUACGCUAAUACCGCAUACGACCUACGGGUGAAAGCAGGGGAUCUUCGGACCUUGCGCGAUUGAAUGAGGCGAUGUCGGAUUAGCUAGUUGGCGGGGUAAAGGCCCACCAAGGCGACGAUCCGUAGCUGGUCUGAGAGGAUGAUCAGCCACACUGGAACUGAGACACGGUCCAGACUCCUACGGGAGGCAGCAGUGGGGAAUAUUGGACAAUGGGCGCAAGCCUGAUCCAGCCAUACCGCGUGGGUGAAGAAGGCCUUCGGGUUGUAAAGCCCUUUUGUUGGGAAAGAAAAGCAGCAGGUUAAUACCCCGCUGUUCUGACGGUACCCAAAGAAUAAGCACCGGCUAACUUCGUG
This 492-nucleotide ribosomal RNA is filed under the name uncultured bacterium. Its description in RNAcentral is "partial 16S ribosomal RNA". It matches the Rfam family "Bacterial small subunit ribosomal RNA", at positions 29 to 507 of the family's 1533-position model. The record is from RNAcentral.